Pyrus x bretschneideri (Chinese white pear) is the source of this 2678-nucleotide RNA transcript. It is a transcript of the gene named pentatricopeptide repeat-containing protein CRP1, chloroplastic, with no coding region annotated. The record is from RefSeq and is a predicted model, not a curated record. The transcript has 6 exons. Lineage: Eukaryota; Viridiplantae; Streptophyta; Magnoliopsida; Rosales; Rosaceae.
UCCUGCAGUCUUUCUCUCUCUCUCGCUUCCUCUCUCUCCCCAUGGAAUUAGGGUCCGGGAAGAGGCAGAGUCGAGGAACACUGGCGGAGCUAGGACGGGGCAAAUCCGUGGAAUUAGUGUCUCUGAAUUUGACGAAGAAGGGCCUCCUCUACCGUCUCUUGAAAAGAAGUCUGAUUUUGGCUGCCACACAGUGUUUCCACAGCCUACUCCAAAUUAGAUUCACGUGAGCGGCGACUGUUGUAAGUGAUUGUAUCCAGCCUAAGACCCGCCCUUCUCAGCUCUCGCCUCAUUCAAAAGUUCAAUUCCCAAAUUUGGUGUCAUGGCACCUGACUUCAGCCGAGCAUUUAUAAUCGAGCAGUUCAUGCUAAUAUAACUUUAUCGUCUCCUUUCUUCCACAAAAGCAAACAAAGCACUCUGAAAUCUUCGGCACCCGCGACAUUAGAGCAUAGAGAUAUGCUGGUGCAGUCCAUUUGGUGUCGCACUUCACCUUCACUUUCAUCCACAGCCAACUUCUUCACAAUCACUCCACUCCCUCUCUUCUUUCCGAGCUGCCUCAAACACCCCGGGACAUUCAAGUUCUACGCUUCUUUCACCCACUCGAAUCUCAUCAAGACCAGGAAAGAAGUCAAAUUUACGUCCCCCAAUGACGAAAACACUUCAGUUCCCAGCUAUCCAAUGGCUCAAACCACUGGAGAGGAACUUUCGGGCGAAUCAUACAACAAUUUGAUAAGUGGGUUCUGCAGGGCAGGGCAUAUCGACAAGGCCAUGGCUGUUCUUGCAGAAAUGGAAGCUCUCGGCGUUCGACCCAAUUCGGUGUCUUACGCUCAUUUGAUUGACGGUCUUGGAAGCAAUGGCAGGACUUUGGAGGCCGAUGUGUUGUUUCAGGAAAUGAUAUGUUCUGGGUUGAGGCCACGAAUCAGGGUUUACAAUGUUAUGCUCAGAGGGUGUUUGAAGAAAGGCCUCUUAGAACUUGCUACUAGAGUUUUGGCAGUAAUGGGCGAUUUGGGUGUGGAGAAAAAUGAAGUGACGUAUGAGAUUCUUCUUGAUUACUAUGUCAGUGCCGGGAGGUUGGAAGAUACCUGGUCAAUGAUUAAUGAGAUGAAGCGGAAGCGGUUUCGGUUGAGCUCGUUUGUGUACAGCAAGGUUAUUGGUCUUUACAGGGACAAUGGGAUGUGGAAGAAGGCAAUGGACAUUGUGGGAGAGAUAAGGGAAAUGGGGAUGGCAUUGGAUAAACAGAUUUUCAACAGCAUUAUUGAUACGUUUGGGAAAUAUGGCGAAUUGGACGAAGCUUUGGAAGUGUUUGAUAAAAUGAAACAAGAAGGUCUGAAGCCUGAUAUAAUGACGUUUAAUUCGUUGAUAAGGUGGCAUUGUAAAGCAGGGAAUAUAAGCAAGGCUCUUGAGUUGUUUACCGAGAUGCAGGAACAGGGGUUGUAUCCUGAUCCAAAGAUCUUUGUCACUGUUAUUAGCCGAUUAGGGGAGCAGGGGAAGUGGGAUAUGAUCCAGAAGACUUUUGAGAAUAUGAAGCGCCGAGGGCAUAAGAAAAGUGGGAUAAUUUAUGCUGUUUUGGUUGAUAUUUACGGGCAGUAUGGAAAAUUUCAGGAUGCUCAAGAGUGCAUAUCUGCCCUAAAGGCGGAAGGUCUUAUUCCUUCAGCCAGUAUGUUUUGUGUCUUAGCAAAUGCCUACGCUCAACAGGGAUUAUGUCAUCAGACGGUUAAGGUGCUUCAGCUCAUGGAAGCUGAGGGAAUCGAACCAAACGUCAUAAUGCUGAAUGUGUUGAUCAAUGCAUUCGGUGUUGCUGGUAGAUAUUUAGAGGCGUUAUCCAUUUAUCACCAUAUAAAAGAAAGUGGUUUUAGUCCUGAUGUGGUUACUUAUACUACCCUUAUGAAGGCGUUUAUUAGGGCAAGGAAGUUUGAUAAGGUCCCGGAGAUAUACAAGGAAAUGGAAUGUGCCGGAUGCACUCCGGAUAGAAAGGCUAGACAGAUGUUACAAGUUGCUUUAAUGGUCCUUCAACAGAGGUAUUGUGAGUAAUAGUGAAUAGAUUGGGUUUUGAUGCAAUGUGCUUGUGCAGUUGGGUAUGGACACAGCCUAUGAUCCUUUCAGCAGUCCAACUAGGACCUUAUGGGAUGCCGGUCACAUGAACACCUCAAACCAAAUGGGGUGUUGAUUUUUACCACAUUAUAGUGCACAACUGAUAAUCUCAAGGGAUUGUACGGGAAGCAAGAGUACUCGGAGAUAAUGAAACCUGCUUCUGGUUUAGCAGUUGGAACAUGGACAACACCAGGACUUGCAACACGAAAGCACUUACUUCGGAGUUGAGAGGACGAGUCACUUUUAUGAGCCAUACCAUCUUGGUUCCUAUGAAGAGCAUUGAUUUGGAAGAAUUGGCUUCAAAGUGCUGCAGCUCAAACAGGCCUUCCUCCCAUACAUGAUACAUUGAAUGAUUGGGAAAAUUGGCGUUUCAAAGUGCCACUUUCAGUCCUCCUGCCAUUUCAGCAAUGAUAUAUAUUUUAGAGUCGACUCGUAUUAUCUCCACCAUACCCAUGUAAUUAUAGAAUACUUGUUUAAACUCAUCUUUUUAAAUUAUAUUACUUCUUUUACCUUAAAAUGUUUCAAGUUUUAACUAGCCUCUUGGCAUGCGCGGACACUCUUUUAUAAUAUAAUAUAAUUAUUAUUUAUUA